UCAAAAUGAGUAUAUUUUUAAACCAGUCUUUGUCAUAACAGACAUGACGGUUUGCACCAGAAUCAGCCCACCAUCCAUCAACACUCUCACCCAUGUUUAUGUCGGUAAUCACCGCCACAAAAGGUUCUUCGGUAACGUUUGCCUGAGGGUUAGGACCACGUUUCCGGAAUCUGCAAAAUCGAGCAAUAUGCCCACUCUUGCCACAAACAAAGCAUG
Molecule: long non-coding RNA, 216 nt
Filed under: Solanum tuberosum (potato)
Lineage: Eukaryota; Viridiplantae; Streptophyta; Magnoliopsida; Solanales; Solanaceae
Description: long non-coding RNA (STUB_LNC000035)
Source: RNAcentral